AGCUCCAAUAGCUUAUAUUGAAGUUGUUGCAGUUAAAAAGCCAAUAUUUUGAUUUCUGAAUGAGCACAUGGGUCCGCUCUUACGAAUGUAUACCAUACACAUCCGGCCUUUUUUUAGGAGAGCCAUGGUAACAUUAGGUUGUUGGUGUGGGGAUCCCAAUCCUUUACUGUUAAGAAUUUAGAGUUUUCAAAGCAGGUUUACACCGUUUAAUAUAUUAGCAUGGAAUAAUAACAUACAAACAUUGUACUAUCUUUUGUUGGUUUGCAAAAAAUAGUAAUGAUUAACAGGGACAGUUGGGGGUAUUUAUUUUCUAUCGUCAGAGGUAAAAUUCUUGGGUUUUUUGAAGAUAAACUAAUGCAAAAGCAUUUAUCAAAGAUUUUUUCA
Molecule: ribosomal RNA, 384 nt
Filed under: uncultured eukaryote
Lineage: Eukaryota
Description: partial small subunit ribosomal RNA
Rfam family: Eukaryotic small subunit ribosomal RNA
Source: RNAcentral